RNAcentral lists this ribosomal RNA (495 nucleotides) under uncultured bacterium. RNAcentral describes it as "partial 16S ribosomal RNA". It matches the Rfam family "Bacterial small subunit ribosomal RNA", at positions 28 to 507 of the family's 1533-position model. The record is from RNAcentral.
GACGAACGCUGGCGGCGUGCCUAAUACAUGCCAGUAGAACGCUGAAGGAGGAGCUUGCUUCUCCGGAUGAGUUGCGAACGGGUGAGUAACGCGUAGGUAACCUGCCUGGUAGCGGGGGAUAACUAUUGGAAACGAUAGCUAAUACCGCAUAACAGUAGAUAUCGCAUGAUAUCUGCUUGAAAGGUGCAAUUGCAUCACUACCAGAUGGACCUGCGUUGUAUUAGCUAGUUGGUGAGGUAACGGCUCACCAAGGCGAAGAUACAUAGCCGACCUGAGAGGGUGAUCGGCCACACUGGGACUGAGACACGGCCCAGACUCCUACGGGAGGCAGCAGUAGGGAAUCUUCGGCAAUGGACGGAAGUCUGACCGAGCAACGCCGCGUAAGGGAAGAAGGUUUUCGGAUCGUAAAGCUCUGUUGUAAGAGAAGAACGAGUGUGAGAGUGGAAAGUUCACACUGUGACGGUAUCUUACGAGAAAGGGACGGCUAACUACGUG